GACGAACCGUGCAAACGUUGUUCGGAAUCACUGGGCUUAAAGGGCGCGUAGGCGGCUCAUCAAGUCGGGGGUGAAAUACUUCAGCUUAACUGGAGAAGUGCCUUCGAUACUGGUGGGCUUGAGGGAGGUAGGGGUCUUUGGAACUUCUGGUGGAGCGGUGAAAUGCGUUGAUAUCAGAAGGAACGCCGGUGGCGAAAGCGAAGGACUGGAACUCUUCUGACGCUGAGGCGCGAAAGCUAGGGGAGCAAACGGG
RNAcentral lists this ribosomal RNA (253 nucleotides) under uncultured bacterium. Its description in RNAcentral is "partial 16S ribosomal RNA". It matches the Rfam family "Bacterial small subunit ribosomal RNA", at positions 524 to 776 of the family's 1533-position model. The record is from RNAcentral.